AUCAUCGUUCUGAUGUUUCCUCUCUGAUGACUUUUAGAAAUCUCCACCCUCAGACGUGUCGAGUGAAACGAAAUGACAACCCGCCCCUCCUGCCGGGUGCGGCCCACCCCCUCGGCCUACGGGGGCAUGGUAUCAUGAGUUCUGUAGGACGGAGGCGUGUGCCGAGCAAACCGACACGCCGCGUCUGACGGGCCAAAUGCACUCAGACCUCCUAUCGGGUUAUGAAUGGAAUGAAUUCUGCAGGCAGACGGAGCACGCCGCCGCUCAGAGAACCCCCCCCCGAAGGCGCCGGCGCUCAGAGGAAACUGCACCGAGGCGUGUGCGGGGCCUCCACUCAGACGCUCACAGAGGAGAUGUGAAAGCUGAAGGAGCGUGGCUUUAUGAAGGACGGCAGGAGAACAUGUGUCAUAGAACAAACGCAGCGGGACGCCGGCCAGAAUAAACUCUCAGGUGUCCACGCCGCUUUGAAAUGUCCUGUAACCAACAUGCUGUGGAGCUGAAGGUCAUAAAAGAUGAAUGAAGGUGAUGGAGGCCCGGAGCCAAAGGUGACGGCUGCUCAGGUGUCACCUGCUGGCAGACACCAGGAGCUCAGCAGCUGAAGAAGCAUCAGAUCACCGCCGCGUUCAUCAGAUCACCGCCGCGUUCAUCAGAUCACCGCCGCGUUCAUCAGAUCACCGCCGCGUUCAUCAGAUCACCGCCGCGUUCAUCAGAUCACCACAUUCAGCUCCGAACCCGGACGAGACCCCGGAAUGGAACUGUAUCAAAAAGCAUCAAUGAGAAAACUCAGAAGAAACAGCAACUCUCUGCUGCAGCAUCUGAUUUACCGAGGAGUUCACGGAGGAGGCAGGGACACUCCAAUUCCAGCUCAGCCGAGAGACGCUAAUAUGAUCCAGUCCAUCGCCAGCCUGAUCAGAGCGAAGAGCAAACUGCUGCUGUUGGAAAAUCCAGACACGGUGGAGAUCUACAAGCUGGAUGAACCAACAGCUGGACCAGGAAAAGGUCACUUCUAUCUUCCCGCCAUCCCACCCAAAGCUUCCGGUCUGAGCUCCGUCAGGGGGGCUCUGACUCAAUCCUGCCCUUAUCUGUACGACAAGCGGCGAGGGUCGCUCUCGUCCG
This 1116-nucleotide long non-coding RNA is filed under the name Oryzias javanicus (javanese ricefish). RNAcentral's name for it is "lncRNA (ENSOJAG00000005757.1)". Lineage: Eukaryota; Metazoa; Chordata; Actinopteri; Beloniformes; Adrianichthyidae. The record is from RNAcentral.